CUGCCAGUAGUCAUAUGCUUGUCUAA
This 26-nucleotide ribosomal RNA is filed under the name Philodendron billietiae. Its description in RNAcentral is "partial 18S ribosomal RNA". RNAcentral also lists the same sequence under 2 other names. The record is from RNAcentral. Lineage: Eukaryota; Viridiplantae; Streptophyta; Magnoliopsida; Alismatales; Araceae.